GAUGAAGAAGCAGCGAAAUGCGAUACGUAAUGUGAAUUGCAAAUUCAGUGAAUCAUCGAGUCUUUGAACGCACAUUGCGCCCCCUGGUAUUCCGGGGGGCAUGCCUGUCCGAGCGUCAUUGCUGCCCUCAAGCACGGCUUGUGUGUUGGGCCCCGUCCUCCGAUCCCGGGGGACGGGCCCGAAAGGCAGCGGCGGCACCGCGUCCGGUCCUCGAGCGUAUGGGGCUUUGUCACCCGCUCUGUAGGCCCGGCCGGCGCUUGCCGAUCAACCCAAAUUUUUAUCCAGGUUGACCUCGGAUCAGGUAGGGAUACCCGCUGAACUUAAGCAUAUCAAUAAGCGGAGGA
RNAcentral lists this unclassified non-coding RNA (344 nucleotides) under soil metagenome. Its description in RNAcentral is "partial contains 5.8S ribosomal RNA, internal transcribed spacer 2, and large subunit ribosomal RNA". The stretch from base 1 to 118 matches the Rfam family "5.8S ribosomal RNA", at positions 35 to 154 of the family's 154-position model. The record is from RNAcentral.